UACGGGAGGCAGCAGUGGGGAAUAUUGCACAAUGGGCGCAAGCCUGAUGCAGCCAUGCCGCGUGUAUGAAGAAGGCCUUCGGGUUGUAAAGUACUUUCAGUCGUGAGGAAGGUGUUAAGGUUAAUAACCUUAGCAAUUGACGUUAGCGACAGAAGAAGCACCGGCUAACUCCGUGCCAGCAGCCGCGGUAAUACGGAGGGUGCGAGCGUUAAUCGGAAUUACUGUGCGUAAAGGGCACGCAGGCGGUUAAUUAAGUUGGAUGUGAAAUCCCCGGGCUUAACCUGGGAAUGGCAUUCAAGACUGGUUAGCUAGAGUCUUGUAGAGGGGGUAGAAUUCCAUGUGUAGCGGUGAAAUGCGUAGAGAUGUGGAGGAAUACCGGUGGCGAAGGCGGCCCCUGGGACAAAGGACUGACGCUCAUGUGCGAAAGCGUGGGGAGCAAACAGGAUUAGAUACC
This 454-nucleotide ribosomal RNA is filed under the name uncultured bacterium. Its description in RNAcentral is "bacterial SSU rRNA". It matches the Rfam family "Bacterial small subunit ribosomal RNA", at positions 340 to 786 of the family's 1533-position model. The record is from RNAcentral.